This is a long non-coding RNA of Acipenser ruthenus (sterlet), 6740 nucleotides long. RefSeq lists it as uncharacterized. The transcript is spliced from 8 exons. The record is from RefSeq and is a predicted model, not a curated record. NCBI's taxonomy places the organism in Eukaryota, Metazoa, Chordata, Actinopteri, Acipenseriformes, Acipenseridae.
AGCAGGCGGAACGAGAAACAAAACAAUAAAUACAUAAAGAAAUUAACUGCGUGAAUUGUCUCACACAACCACGUAGACAAGGCAAGCUAGCAAAAUAUUUUCUUUUCAACUGAAAUUAUCUUUAAAAUAAAGACAUACAUUAAAAAAGGGAAUUGUAUUUGACCUCAAAAAGCUUAUUUGAAAUAAUGAAUAAUGGUUUUGGAUAGUAAUUAUAUAUAGGUACACAUUUGUGUUCUCAAUGCAGCAGGCACUUAAAAUUAACUUAUUUUAAGUAACCUGUUUUUUUUAUUAUUAUUAUUUAAAAUAAUAAAUCAUAUAUUGUACAACACCCCUGAUACAUAAUGUGUAUGGAGUAUGUGUAUCAGGAUUAUGCGUGUACGUUCAUCAUGUCACAGCAUUGCACCUGCUGUCACGUGUUACAGGGAUAGAUUCAACAGAAUCAAGACAAAGGUUUUGCAUUUUAAUAAAUGAUGCGAGAUGUUCAAAUGACAUGCAUUUUUACAUUAACACGACAACUUAAGUUGCAGUAAAAUUACAAAAAACUCGCUUUAUUUGGACUACUGGAGAUUUCAUCCAAGAAACUACUAGCUGCAUUUCCACUUGAUCCUGUAAGAGAUAAUUCUGUAAGGACUGUAAAGAAUUGUGUGUUCCCUGUUGCUCAGCCUGCUCUGCUGAAAGGUCCAUUGAAAGUUGCUGCAGUGUCAAAGGAGGUUCUGGAGGAUGUAUUAGAUUGGGAUGUUUCAGCAGCAGAAAGAGAUGAUUUCAUCCACUUUCUCAGUGGAGGAAAAUUGCUGUGUGGAUCAGUACCUCUUGCCCAUAGAUAUGGUGGCUACCAGUUUGGCGUGUGGGCUGGUCAGCUGGGUGAUGGGAGAGCUCAUUUACUUGGAGAAUAUAUAAACAGGUAAGCAGCUCAUGUGGCCUGGCCAUAGCAAACGGCAAGAUAAACUGCAGGUAUGAAUUGAUGCAAAUGAUCGGAAUGAACCCUAUUUUACACAACAUUAUAUAUAUAUAUGUGUGUGUGUGUGUGUGUUAUUAAAAUACAUCUACAGUAGUUGUUUUUGCCUCCAGUAUCUUGUUUUGCAGGUGAGAGAUGGGAGAUUCAGCUGAAAGGCUCAGGAAAGAUGCCAUAUUCCCGGUAAUAUCAAUAAUAUUGUUUCUAUAUACUUAUUGUCUGAUUUACUUUUAAGGGGUUGAGACACAUGAUACCGAUAUGUGUGGAAUACACGUAGAUUAUAGCUUUACUAUCUCAGAUGAGCUUAGAUUACAUACAGAACUUGUUUUAUCAUACUGUUGCACUUUCAACACGCAAACUAGUAGGCACCAGGCAUGUUGCAGCUUGUUGCCUUAAUUAUCUGCCAGAGCUUUAAAGUGUAUUGCAUGGUCACGUAUUGAGCACGCUAGCCCAAAUCUCCAGCAGUUGUGCUGAAAGUACAAAGUAGUUUAACCCUUCUGUAGGUCAUACCACACUACAGCUGCACAAGUGAGAUCAUGCAUUUAAAUCCUACUUUCAUUUGCCUCCAGUGCACUAUCAGACUAAAAUAUUUAUAGAAUGGAAGUGUUAAGAGAAUAAAUUGACAAGCCAUGGGUUCAAAUCUGACUCACUGGGCUUUGUUUCAAUGAUAUAAACCAGUAGUUCUCCACUGCAGUUUCUGGUAGCUCUGAACAGUUCACUUGUAACUGGUGAGCAAAAGCCUAUUAGGCCUAAACAUUUGUCUGCUUGAUCUUGUUUAGAUAAUUGGUAGAGGCAGUGGAAGAAAGAUGCUGCUGCUCAUUUGAGCCAACAGAGGUACAUGGUUUCCAAGCCUGGUGAAGUAAAGUCCCCAAGCCGUCAAUAUCGCAGUUAAAGACACUGUCUGAAAGAGCCUGGUUUUCGCAUCCAAGCUGUUGUACAGCAUCCUUUUGAAUGCAAAUGUUUCAGAUCGGCAGACUGACUUGGAUAUAAAAAGCUGUAUUUGUUUUGCAGCCUCAUUGUCAGCAAUGAAGUGGUAUGAAGAAACCAGUUCUAUAAUGGACAUGUGAAGAAGGAAAAGGGAGCAAUUGUUGCAUGUGUAGCAAAAUCAUGGUUUCGUAUAGGAUCACUGGAAAUAAUAGCAAGCUUUGGUGAGAUCAAUUCGUUAAGGUGAGAUGACUUUAAUGUUUCAUUCUGACCUAACAAGUAUUGAACAAAACACAUCUACUAUAUGGAAUAACUUCUACGGAAAACCAGUUAUUGUUUUAAAUUGUGUUCAUUUUGUCUGGAAAACAUGUAUCAAUGUAUUUUAAAUUGAUUACCUGUUUUUAAAAUCAAAAUCAGCUUUGAACAGCCACAAGUUUAAUCGACUAACGAGAUUGUAUUGUGUUGCUGUGAGACAAAGGCCGUAACAGUGGAGAUUCCACCUCCUGGACCUGCUCAUUAUAUUUAUACUGGCAGCUCUUUGAUAAUGACUUUAAAAGCAUGGCGUGUAAGGGUUAAGCAGCAGUACAGAGAUGUGCGUGGGUUAGUUAAGUUACAACAAGCAACUAAUAACGUGUGACUAAAUUCAACAUAAUAGUGUAUAACCUUUGUUGUUUUCAAAAACACCAGAACUGGGUGCUUCCAAUGGCUCUCAGUUAGUGUAUGCAUAAUAGCAUAUCAGUAGAUUAACUCUGAUUUAAACAAAUACAGUAUGCUAAUGAAAUUGCUAAUAUAGAGAAAAUCACUCAUACACACACACAGUAUCCAUGUCAGCUGCUUUAAGCUGUUGCAAGUAGAAUCUUGUCAAGUAUGUAAAGGACUUUACUUCAUGCUGUAGCAUGACUGUCAUGAUCAGUUAUUAUCUGCCCGCUGCUGCAUGAAAGCUUCUCUUGAAAAGUCUUCUGAUCUGGGUCUGCUGGUGUGUUCGUACAUUUCAGUAUUGUCUCCAUCUCCACCUUGGUCACCAUCAUGUCAUUGCUAAUGAGUUCUACAUUAUUUGUGAAAUACAUGUUGGAGGAUAAUCAUUUAUUAAAGUCACAAAAAUGAAAAAUGACAUGCAUUGCCAUGUGACUGAAACAUUCAUGGCUAUUGGUGUAGUCUGUGUUUAAAACACUCUGGAAGGACUGUCUUUCAUCUUGGAAAGCAAACCCAGAGAGUAGCAGGCUGCCUUAACUGAAGAAUGGUUCUCAACAUUGUGGCAGUGUGUUACAUUGUGACUGUUGUUUACCCCCAGGAAAUUAUUAAACUUAGACAAACAUUUCCCAUCAUGCAUGCAAGCGACUCAGAUAAGUAUCUGGUGAGUAUGAGAAAGGAAUAAUGAUAUAUAGUGUUCAGAGGGCUAUCUAAACUUCGAUUAGCUGACAUGGUGUCUCGGUACACCAGUGUCCGGAAGGUUUACAUCCUUAAAUGCCUUUUGAGAUCGCAACAUUGCCAUCUUGCUGAGAUGUUUAAUUAACUCCAUUACUUUGUUGACAUCAAAUCAAAACUGUAUUCAAGAUAUAUUUUUUUGUAUUUGCAAACAGAAACUGCCCUUGGCUAGAAUAAAAUAUUUUCUUUUCAAAUCUAAUAACAACAUCAUAGUGGAGGCUUCAUAUUUUAAUUGGAGAUUUCAAUUAACAUGGGGUCUAUAGGUUCAUACAGUGUUCAUUUUCUAAAUAAAAUGUAGUUCACAUCUUUACAACCUAGCAUUUAAAGUGUAUUUUUUAGCAUUUAAUUUUCUUGCAGUGGAACACACACACAUUGAUAGCAUGUAUUUUAUAUUGCUGAGGUUCUCAAAAUAUACUGUAGUUAAAGUAUGUUUUGCAUUUGUACUGAAGUUACUCAUUAUUUAUUGCUAAGUACAUCUGCUGUGUGAUUCUAGGCUGAGUCUACACUGACAUCUGUUGGCUGUAGGACUGAAGUAGACUUGGCUUUGCUGUCUGGCAUUGACAUGAACAUCCUCUUUCAGCUCAUUUCAAAAGUUCUUAUGUAAGAGCUUUAAAUACAUUUGCUUAAGCAGCAUUUCUUAAAAAGCCAAGGCCAUUCAUCAGGAACCAUACGCAUUAGGGUUGGGUAUUCCAGGAAGCCGAUAAAUAGUUACAAUAGGCUUUGCAUUUGUUUUCUAUUUCAAAUAUUAUGUAAAUUUUUCUUCCAGGGUGGCCCCCCCACCUUUCUUCUUCUCCUUCUUCUUCCUCCUCCUCCUCCUCCUUCUCCUCCUCCUCUUCAUCUUCUUCUUCUUGUUUCCUCCUCUUCACCAUAAAUAUAGCUAUAAUUAAUUGUUGUCUACUUUUAAUAAAUACUUCAAUUGUAAUUGACAAUACUUACGAUUGAAGGUAUGAAGCGUCACAGACUCCGCCAUUAAAACAUGUUUAUAUUAUGCUUGUCCAGGACUUCUUCUCCAGAGUAGUGACGGACAUUGCCAAUCUUAUUGCACUUUGGAUGUCAGUGGGGUUUGCACAUGGUAAUACAUGUACUGUACUUACUAUAUUAAUGUGAACAAAGCUACAAACCUGUACUAUGCAAAUGCAUUGAAGAGAAAAAACUGUUAUUUAUCUCAAUUUGCUAACACAAAACACAUUUCCUUUUCAGGUGUAUGCAACACAGACAACUUUAGUUUGUUGUCAUUUAUGGAGUCAUAUGAUCCCAGUUCCAGGAUUUAUUUAAAUCCAAGCUAGGUUUCCUUGGAGAAGAAGCUGGUGAUGUCUAUUUAUUGCAUACUUGCUGAAGCUCAUGGAAGACACACAAGCAGAUUUUACAAUGAUUUUCUGGCUGUUAAGUGAGAUUUCUGUACAACAGCUACAGGAUCAAGGUAUUCCACAGGUACCUUUAGUGAUACUUUCAUUUUGAGGAAAAAAGUAUCUACAGUGGCUCUCAAAAGUAUUCACCCCCCUUGGAUUUUUCCACAUUUUAUUGUGUUACAACAUGGAAUCUAAAUGGAUUUAAUUAGGAGUUGUUGCCACUGAUCAACACAAAAAAGUCCAUAAUGUCAAAGUGAAAAAUAAAAUCUACAAAUUGUUCUAAAUUAAUUACAAAUACAAAACAGAAAAUUGAUUGCAUAAGUAUUCACCCCCUUGAGUCAAUAUUUGGUAGAGGCACCUUUGGCAGCAAUUACAGCCAUGAGUCUAUUUGGAUAAGUCUCUACCAGCUAUGCACAUCUGGACACUGCAAUUUUUCCCCAUUCUUUGCAAAAUUGCUCAAGCUCAGUAAAGAUGGAUGGGGACCUUUGGUGAACAUCAAUUUUAAACUCUUUCAACAUAUUCUCAAUUGGAUUGAGGCCCGGGCUUUGACUGGGCCACUCCAGGACAUUGACCUUUUUGUUUUUAAGCCACUCCAGUGUGGCUUUGGUUGUAUGUUUGGGGUCAUUGUCCUGCUGGAAGAUGAAUCUUCUCCCAAGUCCCAGGUCUCUUGCAGACUUCAGCAGGACUCCAUUCAACUAACUCUGUGACUUCUAAAGACAAUUGGUUGCACCAGAGCUUAUUUAGGUGUGUCAUAGCAAAGGGGGUGAAUACUUAUGCAAUCAAUUAUUUUCUGUUUUAUAUUUGUAAUUAAUUUAGAACAAUUUGUAGAUUUUAUUUUUCACUUUGACAUUAUGGACUUUUUUUGUGUUGAUCAGUGGCAAAAACUCCUAAGUAAAUCCAUUUUGAUUCCAACCUUUAUAUAUGAUGAUCUGUGCCAAUGUGGUAUUUUUUAUUUAUUUUUUGCUCAGGAAUUGUGGGCUUUACAGGACCUUGCCAGUCACAAAUUAUUUUCAGACUGGGUCCCUAUGUAUUUGUUAAGGCUAAAAAGGUAAGAUUUCUAAACAGUCUUACAGGUUUAUUUUGCUUGGUAGUGAUCAUACACUCUCACAACACUGGGAAUGUGUGAGAAUAAUAUUGAAAAUACCUCUAUACUAAGUGGCAAUCCAAAAAGCAAAUACAUCCAUAUGACACAGUAGAAACCUUUCCCAUAUAUGUUAUGAUAUGAAAUGUAUCUGGGAAUGAUGUUCCAAUAAAGAUGUUGAUUAUGCAUGCAUAUUGGUAUUUUAUUUUUAGGAAUGCAAGUAAUUGUGAUAAAGAAAGAGAAUGAAAAGGAUAAAUCCUAGACAUUCUAAGGAACUGGAGUCUGCAGUUAGAAAAGCUGAAAGGAGUGACUUCUCUGAGGUACCUUGAAUUUGAAUGGAUUCAUGUAAAAUCUAAAUGUUUCUACGUGUGGUAGGACGUCCUCUUAUGACACAACCUGCAAGGUGGAACGAAGCUUUCCUUAUUAUAUUGGGUGCUUAGUCUACUGUAUUGACUGUUUAGUGGUGUAGUAAAAACCAGACUUUUAUACCGACCAGGUGCAUCUUCUGCAGGGCCCCCUUCCAGAAGCAGACAGAUGCUUCCCGUCCUCUUAGCUGGCCUGAAGACCUACGUGUUAGCUGCUCAUCUUGACCACUGCAGGAAGCACAUAACCAGCGGAGGAGCAACCUACGUGAGAACCUUCGAGAAAAUACUUUUGUUUUCCAAAAUAGCACUUUAGUGUAGUUUAUCAAAUAUUUAUAUUUUUAAUAAACUUAAUUGCAAUGGUGGUGUGCAUUAUCCUAGCACCCCUGAAGCACCUUUAAGGGUUCAACAAAUCUAUCAGUACAGGUUUAGUAAGUCUCCUUGUUUUUCUCAGGGCUUGUUACAUUUUAUGUCACAUUAUUAGUCUUUUUGAAUAUGACUGUGGGCACAAUUCAGAUAGGAAAUGAGGAAAUGUGAUUAAAUCUUUUUUUGUAAAAAAAGAUUUAAACUGAAUGUCCACUAGGUGGCAUUAUAUCUUGUGUUAAAAUGCCUGAAGGUUUUUCAUGAAAAAAUAUACAUGUAAUAAA